This 254-nucleotide ribosomal RNA is filed under the name uncultured bacterium. Its description in RNAcentral is "partial 16S ribosomal RNA". It matches the Rfam family "Bacterial small subunit ribosomal RNA", at positions 524 to 776 of the family's 1533-position model. The record is from RNAcentral.
UACGGGGGGGGCAAGCGUUGUUCGGAAUUACUGGGCGUAAAGAGCUCGUAGGCGGUUCGAUAAGUCGGACGUGAAAUCUCCACGCUCAACGUGGAGGGGCCGUUCGAUACUGUCGUGACUCGAGUCCGGUAGGGGAGUGUGGAAUUCCCGGUGUAGCGGUGAAAUGCGCAGAGAUCGGGAGGAACACCCGUAGCGAAGGCGGCACUCUGGGCCGGUACUGACGCUGAGGAGCGAAAGCGUGGGGAGCAAACAGG